GGGCGGGUAGCUCAGUUUGGCGGAGCGUUCGGCUGAUAACCGAAAGGUCGUGAGUUCAAAUCUCUCCUCGCCCA
This 74-nucleotide transfer RNA is filed under the name Candidatus Micrarchaeota archaeon RBG_16_36_9. RNAcentral's name for it is "tRNA-Ile". It matches the Rfam family "tRNA". Rfam says of the family: Transfer RNA (tRNA) molecules are approximately 80 nucleotides in length. Their secondary structure includes four short double-helical elements and three loops (D, anti-codon, and T loops). Further hydrogen bonds mediate the characteristic L-shaped molecular structure. tRNAs have two regions of fundamental functional importance: the anti-codon, which is responsible for specific mRNA codon recognition, and the 3' end, to which the tRNAs corresponding amino acid is attached (by aminoacyl-tRNA synthetases). tRNAs cope with the degeneracy of the genetic code in two manners: having more than one tRNA (with a specific anti-codon) for a particular amino acid; and 'wobble' base-pairing, i.e. permitting non-standard base-pairing at the 3rd anti-codon position. The record is from RNAcentral. Lineage: Archaea; Nanobdellati; Microcaldota.